RNAcentral lists this ribosomal RNA (419 nucleotides) under uncultured bacterium. Its description in RNAcentral is "bacterial SSU rRNA". It matches the Rfam family "Bacterial small subunit ribosomal RNA", at positions 355 to 776 of the family's 1533-position model. The record is from RNAcentral.
CAGGGAAUAUUGCACAAUGGGCGAAAGCCUGAUGCAGCGACGCCGCGUGAGGGAUGAAGGCCUUCGGGUUGUAAACCUCUUUCGACAGGGACGAAGCCGGAGGUCACUCCGGUGACGGUACCUGUAGAAGAAGCCCCGGCUAACUACGUGCCAGCAGCCGCGGUAAAACGUAGGGGGCGAGCGUUGCCCGGAUUCACUGGGCGUAAAGCGGGUGUAGGCGGUCCGUUAAGUCGGGUGUGAAAUCUCCAGGCUCAACCUGGAAACUGCAUCCGAAACUGGCGGACUUGAGGACGGUAGAGGUCGGUGGAAUACCGAGUGUACCGGUGAAAUGGACAGAUAUUCGGUGGAACACCAGUGGCGAAGGCGGCCGACUGGGCCGAUCCUGACGCUGAGACCCGAAAGCCAGGGUAGCGAACCGG